Molecule: long non-coding RNA, 446 nt
Filed under: Oryza brachyantha (malo sina)
Lineage: Eukaryota; Viridiplantae; Streptophyta; Magnoliopsida; Poales; Poaceae
Description: long non-coding RNA (OBRA_LNC001984)
Source: RNAcentral
UUGACAUCACAUAUUUAUGUUUUUCAUUUUUUCUUUCCUGUCAUUAAUACAAUUAACUAAAACUUAAUUAUCUUAUUAAGAAAUUAUACUUUUAUACCAUUUAUUCGCUAAGCUCAGUAGUCGAGCACUAUAUUGGAAUCACGAAGGUUAUAUAGUCUCAACUCGAGUUUGAGCUAGGCUAGUUGAUAGUAGGGAUAAUUACAUAUCUGAUCCUACUUUAAAGACGAAUUAUAAAAUUGACCCUCCUUUUUCAACUUUGCAGAUUUGACCCUCAUUUUUUAAAAUGAAGUAGCCAUCUGACCCUCCUCGUUGAUUUAUGCCGUUAGAGUUUAGGUUAAAUGAAAUAAAAAAAUAAACUUUAAUUAUGAAUAGACUAUAUUGCCCCAGCUCUCUAUCUCACAUCCUCCUGUCUAUCUCACAUUGCCACACGCGAGGUGGUGGGGCGG